Molecule: long non-coding RNA, 930 nt
Filed under: Homo sapiens (human)
Lineage: Eukaryota; Metazoa; Chordata; Mammalia; Primates; Hominidae
Description: HSALNT0390070
Source: RNAcentral
CUUGAACUCCUGGCCUCAAGUGAUCCUCUGGCCUCAGCCUCCCAAAGUGCUAGGAUUACAGAUGUGAGCCGCUGUGACUGUCCUCUCUCUGUUCUAAACCACACUCUGAUUUGCAUCUGCUGCAGGCAGACACAGCAAACAGAGAAGGGUAGGCCCUCAGCCCGUCCAGCCUCCACCCAAACCCCCCAUCCUCCUAGCCUGGCUCAGGCCCCAUUCUCUGGGGUGCCUCCUCUCCUGCUUCCCCAAAUGGAAGGCCCCAACUUCUAAAGCCUCUGGCCAAACCCUAGACUGCCUUCUAGACUGCACAGCAGGAUAAUACCAGCCAUGGAGAGAGAAGUCUGGAUGCCCUUUCAAGGAGCCUACAGCCAAGCUGUGCCUGCUUCAAGCUGAGCCAACCAUGUCUUCAUGGGGAGAACGGAGGGAAACUUAUGUGGCACUGUCGCCCAAUCCAAGGAAGUGGAGAUGGAAGUCACGAGCCAGGUGGACGGGUGUUGGCAGCAGACUGCACUGGACUUAAGCCUGUGGGGAUUAGCUUGGAGCCUCACCUAAGACCUGGGGGCCACUAAGAAGGCAGAACUCCUAGCAACCCACCGCCAAGGCCGUAGAAGGGUGGAACAGACCUCCAGGUGCAAUUACUCCCAAACCCACGGAGAAGAGGAGGCCCUUUAGGGCGUAUUGGGCUGUGAAGUGAAGAGCCGGGCUCAGACCUCAGGCUCCAGGAGGAGGCAGAGUGAGAACUGUUUUCUGUAUAUACUCAGAAGUUUCCUGAGGUCUUAAGAGUAGCAAGGUGAGAAAGGGAAGGUGUUGCUAUCCUAUCUAGGUGUACAGAGAGACACACACACCAAGGAUGGAGACGGUUUAUUGUUAUACCAAAAAUAUAUGUAUAUAUCUAUAUAUAUAUGCAGAAAUAAAGGAUCAGAAGGCUAUAAA